CCCAGGGGCAGCAAUAGAUGAGAUCUCAGCAGGUACCAGCGGAAAGGCCUCCUGCAGAUUGGCACGGCAAGUACCUGCAUCCAGGCUGGGGAUCUGCCUGUCACUGCAAGGCACCACGGGCUUGUUACAGAUCUGGACCCGUGAAGCUUUGAUGUGCACCAAAACAAACAUCCACACAGACACAGUUGAAAAGUAUGUCAGAAGAAAAGAAGCUGUUAAAAAACAAACCCCAAAGCUUAUCUGUUGAAAGAUUUCCUGUCCUUUGGGAGCCGUAGUGAUUCAUUAAAAGGGCAGAUCUAAGAGGGCCAGAAUUAUCUUAAAGAGCAGCUUACAAUUAAAUCGCAAUUAAUGGAUAAAAGGCCAAGGUUUAGCCUGCCAGCUCCAUCUCUUGGCAGUGGUUUUCACUUGGCUAUUACAACACAUCAGCGAUGUCUCCUCACCCUUCCUUAUCUGUAGGCUGCAGGGAACAGCGUAGUUGUGUUGCCAGAAGUUUGGAGGAGUUGAGUUCAACCAUGGGGCUUGCAUUUGGGGUCUUGGAGCACCAGGUCUACGCGAGGGGUGGUGAGCUCCUGCUACAGCAGUAGCAGUUGUCCUGUGGGUAUGGUGUGGGGUGGGAUGUAGGAAGUGCAGAGUCUGAUUCAUGCUCAGUUUUUCAGUGAUUUGAAUUAUGGCUCUUGGCUAUUCUCUGUUUCUCCUGACAGAUAACAGGGAAGGGGCGUUCAUCUUGCCAGGUGGCCGCCAUCUGGAAUGGGAUGUAUAGCUCCCUCCAAAGCAGCACGGAGAAGUCACCCGAGGAUGGGCUGUUUUUGCCAAUUUGUCUCAUGUUGUGCUUGUGUGGGGCCCAACAUGGUCCUGAACGUGGCUGGAUCCUCCUCCUCUUGUGACAAUGUGAAGCUAGGACGAUGCCCUGUGUGUCUGGGGACCUCUCUGCCCUGGGGACAGAGGGCGAGCAAAGCCAUGAGGCUCUGGGACAACGUGGGUGUCCCCAACCACCAGCCACAAUGCGGGACCAUGCAGCAUCCCUGUGCUCCUGCCACGUCCCACAUCCAAGCACCAGCAGCAGUGCUCUCGCUAAGAGUAAUGAGCACAGCCCCUUCUCUGUUGAUCCCUCCAUUGGGACUCUUGGGAUUGGUGACACCAUGCAAGUCACGGUGGAAUUCCACCCGCUGAAGACCGGGGACCAUUCCAGCUCCCUGCAGGUUCACUACGACACAGGUGAGUGCGAGGCCGUGCGUGUUCCUUCGGGACACAGCCCUCCCCAAACCGAGUGGUGUUAAGUUUGCCUCCCGUGCCAGUCACCGGCUGUUGCUCCUCAUUGUCCCAGCCAGCUCCCUUCCCUCCCAGGCAAAGAAACACAAAAAGAUCCCAUGUGGACAGGACGUGGACAUCCACCUGGCUCCUUGUUGUGGCCUCCUGGAGCCCCAUGCAGCCUCCAGGGGGAUGAAGCCAGGAUUUCACUCCUAACUCUCAGUACAACGCUCUGGUUACUUUUAAGCAAACCACUGACUGAGGAGCAGAGCAAGGGAAUAAUUAAGGGAUUAUCUCUUGAGCUCGGCAGCAUACAAAUAAGUAAAAAGGCUGCGGAGUUUAAUUGCUGAAGUGAAACCCAACCAUUUAAUCAAUCAUUCUUAAAAGCCGCUCAUCGCAGGUGCGGUGCGGAGCCCCAGGCGACGUGCCCCAGCCUUGUCCGGCACCGAG
RNAcentral lists this long non-coding RNA (1698 nucleotides) under Anas platyrhynchos platyrhynchos (common mallard). Its description in RNAcentral is "lncRNA (ENSAPLG00000024617.1)". Lineage: Eukaryota; Metazoa; Chordata; Aves; Anseriformes; Anatidae. The record is from RNAcentral.